GAUCCUGGCUCAGGACGAACGCUGGCGGCGUGCUUAACACAUGCAAGUCGAACGAGAAUCUGUGGAAAGAGGAUUCGUCCAAUUGAAGCAGAGGACAGUGGCGGACGGGUGAGUAAUGCGUGAGGAACCUGCCUUUCAGAGGGGGACAACAGUUGGAAACGACUGCUAAUACCGCAUAACAUAUAGAUGUCGCAUGGCAUUUAUAUCAAAGAUUUAUCGCUGAAAGA
Molecule: ribosomal RNA, 227 nt
Filed under: uncultured bacterium
Lineage: Bacteria
Description: partial 16S ribosomal RNA
Rfam family: Bacterial small subunit ribosomal RNA
Source: RNAcentral